ACUGAGCGGAUCAGCGUGUGUCUACCCUUCGCCGAGAGGCGUGGGUAACCCGCUGAACCCCACUCGUGAUAGGGAUUGGGGAUUGCAAUUAUUUCCCAUGAAC
Molecule: non-coding RNA, 103 nt
Organism: Salmo salar (Atlantic salmon)
Lineage: Eukaryota; Metazoa; Chordata; Actinopteri; Salmoniformes; Salmonidae
Source: Rfam